GACGAACCGUGCGAACGUUGUUCGGAAUAACUGGGCAUAAAGGGCGCGUAGGCGGGCGGCUAAGUCCGCGGUGAAAUCCUCCAGCUCAACUGGAGAACUGCCGCGGAUACUGGUCGUCUCGAGGAACGUAGGGGUAUGCGGAACUAUCGGUGGAGCGGUGAAAUGCGUUGAUAUCGAUAGGAACUCCGGUGGCGAAGGCGGCAUACUGGACGUUUUCUGACGCUGAGGCGCGAAAGCCAGGGGAGCAAACGGG
This 253-nucleotide ribosomal RNA is filed under the name uncultured bacterium. RNAcentral describes it as "partial 16S ribosomal RNA". It matches the Rfam family "Bacterial small subunit ribosomal RNA", at positions 524 to 776 of the family's 1533-position model. The record is from RNAcentral.